UGGCGCGGCGGAACAAACGCUCCUCUUCCUGGCGUUCCGGCGACGGAAGAGCAAAGGCAUCAAUCACAGUGCGAAUGUUUCUGUUUUUGCUUCCGCUUCUGGGUCGUUCCUUCCUUGGUCCUCCGAAAAUCCGACACGUGCGGAGCAAGAGCUCUGGACGUACAUGAGACUUAAUGUAGAAGAAGUGCAAAUGAAGCUGGCAGCCAUAGGAGUUUCAUUUCGUUGCCGAGCUUUAAAAUCAUUAUGUUCUUAUAAUUAAGUUUCUUAAGUAAAUGUAACAAGGGUCUGCCUCAUUGGAGGACUUUAAGAAAGGGCUUAGAGAGUCAAAUGCAUGGAAGAUAGCGAAGAGGAAGGGGAAGCUGGCAGUCUGCCAGCAGCUGCAGAGGAACAUGAAGGGCAGAGCCCAGCUGUCAGCCCACAGCAGAUACCUGAGGCAGGUCGAGUCGAAGCUUCAGGACAACCAGGACCAUCGGAGGUAGCAGAGACAAGGAAUGGAGAGCAGACCACAGAGGCCCCUUUGCAUCUUCACGAGGGACGACUGAUUAGACACAGACAACAGGUGGAAGAACCUGACAGCUGCCCUAGCUGAGACGCCUCCCCUGGGAAUGCCUCACACUCCUUUUGCUCUGGAACCGUGCUCUCUGAUUGAAGAGGCUUCCGAGGACCUUCCAGUGACCUUGACGGAGACUGCGCCUUCGACACCGAACAGACAGGCUCCUGACAAUGGCUGCGCAGGAACUCCCCCAGGAGUGACUCCAUGAAGGGCAAGCCCAGCCUCCCUGGAGGUUCUGGGGUGGAAACCAUCACAUCCAACCAGCUCCAGCUCCACCUCCAGCAGGGGGCUCCCAGGCUUCGCCAGGAGUCACAGUCGCUCCCCAGCUGGGACUGAGGAAAACACUCUAGAAGUGGAUUGAAUGAGCAGCAUCUCUUUCCCUCAGAAUGUCUCGGUUCUCUGAUGAAGGAUUAUCCGAAAUGGGCUUAAGAAUCCCGGGCUAGCCUAUAGGACUUUUUUCAUCCUGGCAAGACUUCACUCCUAUAAUUAGAAGUAGUUUUUGUCCUAUCUAUUGAGAUGCUAUAUUUUUAUACAUGUAUGUGCAGACACCACCUGCAAGAUCAGUGUCAUUGCUACUCAUUUGAGGAUUUUUCACUACUGCAAGAUUUUCAUUCAUUUAUUUUUUAUACAGAUUUAUUCUCUAUACGGACUAGAACAAUAUUUUUCACAUAUUUAUGUUGGUUUUUGCAAUAUCUAUAUGUUUGGGUUUGAAUGUGCAUUUACUUUUUAUUAUGACUUUUGCCUUAUUCAUUGAGAAGCAAUAUUUUGGUCAUAUGCAUGUGCAGAUACUAUCUGCAAGAUAAUUGCUUUUGUUAUCUAGCUAUUCUAGACUACUAAUUGUUGUUGUUAUCUAUUUACUCUAGACUAUUAACAUAGCAUCUUUAGGUAUUGAUAAAUGGAUAUAUGUGUCUUGUUCAUUUCCUCCAUAUAGAUUUCUGGAUCUUUAAAUGCAGCACAAUUUGUGUUUUUGCAAUUA
This is a long non-coding RNA of Hemicordylus capensis (graceful crag lizard), 1529 nucleotides long. RefSeq lists it as uncharacterized. The record is from RefSeq and is a predicted model, not a curated record. The transcript has 5 exons. Lineage: Eukaryota; Metazoa; Chordata; Lepidosauria; Squamata; Cordylidae.